CAUAUGCAUACUCCUUCAAUUUUUCCCUCCUACUGGUGUUGUGAUCUGGAGAAGCUCAAGUAGUCAUCUUCGUCCAUCACGUCACUGCAUACGCAUACGCCUCUGAUUUUUGACUCCUGCUCAAAGGAAUAGGAACAUUUCCCGCAAAAAAAGGAAUAGGAUUGUGCUCCUCCCAAAAGACAAAAGCAAGAGUAAGUAUUGCUUCUCACACCCUAUAGAAAAAAUAAUGUCACAAAUCACUUUUUCCCUUGAAAUAUUUACGGUAGCAAAUAUUCAUCUAAUGCAGCACUGCAGACAAUAAAAAUCCAGCACCAACAAUGAAUAGCUGGAGUAAACAAAACAAGCAAACCAAAUCGUGUCGGCCCUCGAGGAAGGGUUGCAGUGUCGAGGAGCAGCAGACAUGUAAAUCUGACUGCAAUUCAUGUCACGGUGGAUGGUUUGAGAGGAGGGAGGCAGAGCAGAGACAAACGGCGCAUUCCGUCAUGCAUGUGUGUGGAUUUGUAUCAUCCUACUACUGUAUUGCUUUGUUUUACAGUAAUAAAUAAAGAGAUGAAUCAGAUUUUCUUUGGUUCGUUAGCAAAAUUUUACACAUCAAGUAUUUGAUCUCAGAUCUUCUAUUUCGGUUUGGUAUAUGAGCCUUUUGCCCA
Long non-coding RNA from Aegilops tauschii subsp. strangulata, 647 nucleotides. RefSeq lists it as uncharacterized. Lineage: Eukaryota; Viridiplantae; Streptophyta; Magnoliopsida; Poales; Poaceae. The record is from RefSeq and is a predicted model, not a curated record.